AUUAAGAGCAACGAUGCUGACCACAUACUCUGUGCCUGGAGUGAGGUUGGUGAGGGUGAUGGAAUUCCGAGAGUGGGGCACCCGAUCUUCUCGAGGUCUCCCACUGAAGUGCUCGGGAUGAUGGCGGAUCCUGUAGCCAGUGAUGGUGGCUCGAGGAGCAAUCCAGUGCACAGUAAAAGAGUUGGCAGUAAUAUCAGAAAAGUCAAUGCCAGUUGGGGAAUCAAGACCUGUUUUUCCCACCCGGGGGAGGAAGAGAAAAAAAAAAGAAAAGACACCACCAGUUUAGGAAGUGAGGAAGGUGUAGGGGAAAUUAACGUACAUCCAACAUUUCGUUCCUGUCUCAUCAAUACCAUGAUUUGCCAUAAACCAAAGAGUAAGAUGUACUGAUUCUAAGCUACAUAUGAAUUUUAAAAUCUUAAAUUGACUCAAUUCAAAAUAGCCAGCUCAAGCAUUCAUUUUUUUCUUGUGCUAAGUAAUUCAAGCAGAUUUUAGGGGUUAUUACAGUAAGUUUCUGUGUCACAUUUGGAGAUAAGUGUUCAAGAUCUUCUGAGAAUUGACAUUUUCAAAUUCUUCAGUGUUCAAGUAUUCUGUGUUUCUAUCCUGUAAGUGUAUCCUUCCAAGUAAAGCAAGAUCUGCCCACUCUCAAAGUAAAUGUUUGACUCUCAGAGAAGCCUCCUAAGCUCAAGAGGAAAUUUAUAUGUCAACAGAGUGGUAAUGAUGCCAAACACAAAACUUUCUGAAACUAAAGACAUUAUCCCAGACAAAUUACAAUGCUGAUAAUUCCUCGUGAAUUGACAGUUUUGAAAAAUGCAUUUUUCAAAAAUGCACAAAAAUU
Molecule: long non-coding RNA, 835 nt
Filed under: Homo sapiens (human)
Lineage: Eukaryota; Metazoa; Chordata; Mammalia; Primates; Hominidae
Description: HSALNT0308751
Source: RNAcentral